UGGGGAAUAUUGGACAAUGGGGGCAACCCUGAUCCAGCAAUUCUGUGUGCACGAUGAAGGUUUUCGGAUUGUAAAGUGCUUUCAGCAGGGAAGAAAAAAAUGACGGUACCUGCAGAAGAAGCGACGGCUAAAUACGUGCCAGCAGCCGCGGUAAUACGUAUGUCGCAAGCGUUAUCCGGAAUUAUUGGGCAUAAAGGGCAUCUAGGCGGCCAGAUAAGUCUGGGGUGAAAACUUGCGGCUCAACCGCAAGCCUGCCCUGGAAACUAUGUGGCUAGAGUACUGGAGAGGUGGACGGAACUGCACGAGUAGAGGUGAAAUUCGUAGAUAUGUGCAGGAAUGCCGAUGAUGAAGAUAGUUCACUGGACGGUAACUGACGCUGAAGUGCGAAAGCUAGGGGAGCAAACAGGAUUAGAUACCCUGGUAGUCCUAGCUGUAAACGAUGAUUACUGGGUGUGGGCAUGAAGAGUGUCCGUGCCGAAGCUAAUGCGAUAAGUAAUCCGCCUGGGGAGUACGGCCGCAAGGCU
Molecule: ribosomal RNA, 524 nt
Filed under: uncultured bacterium
Lineage: Bacteria
Description: bacterial SSU rRNA
Rfam family: Bacterial small subunit ribosomal RNA
Source: RNAcentral